AUGAAAGACCUUAAUAGGACAUGUCAUUCCAAAAUCAGUAGUACAUCAGAACAGGUAUGUACUUUUAAAGAUAGCAACAAAUUAAGUAAUUUUGAAUCCAGGACAAUACAUUUUCUUUCAAUAUAAAUUACAUGUGUGGUUUAUAAGUCCUCUUCUGUUGAAGUCGAAGGGGCUUUAGGUUUGCACUCCGUCCGUCCGUCAGUCCGGCAAAUCAGUUUUCACAAUUUUUUUUUCUUUCUUGAAGAUAUUUGAUAUUUGGUACAUUGUAUAUUGUUAACUCAUGACAAGUUUGGAUUUUGGUCCGGUCUGGAAAAUGUGUGUGCAUAGUUGCUGUCCCUAAACUUAAAAAAUCACUCAUUCACAUGUAGUUAUUUUUCCACGUACACUUUCUUUCGUUAUGCUUUAAGAUAUUGAUGUAAUAUUUGUUCUUAAGUUUACUAAUGUCAAAUUAUAGAUAAAGCUAGCAUUUCGUUCCAGUACAAUUGAUUUUAAUCGGUAGACAUAGGUGACUAUGUAUUGCCACGCAAUACUCUCAGAAUUCUUGUUAUAUAUGUAUGGUAAUUUAAUUCACAUAAUUGACAAACCUGAAAUAUAUUUAGGUAUAUAUAAUAUUAUAUGUACAAUGUACAUGCACAUAACUAAAACGAUGUACUAGUACACAAAUAACAAUGCCUGGACUAUAAAUAUAUACACAUAGAUGAAAGAAGUUGUGGUACAUGUACGAGUGCCAAUGCGACAACUCUCCGUUCAAGUCACCACAAUUUAUAAUUUAAAUUAUGAUGGGUCAAAAUAUAGUCUUUAACACAGAGCCUUGGCUCACACAGAACAUGCAUGUUUACAGUAUCAUGUAUAUAAUUAAAAAAAACAUGAUUUAAAAGUAUCUUUCCUUUCAGGUCCAGGUUAACAAAACCCACUUACUUCAGCAACAGAUUGACGAAGAAGAAAAACUACCAACUUUGAAAAAACCGAAUGGAUCCAAGUAUACAUGUAUGCUUCAACCUAUUUCGUCAGGGAUUGCAGAAAUCCCGAAUGAAGAAUGUGAAACUAUUAUUGUAUCAGACCAUGGAUCAUCUGAUUAUGGUACCUUCAAGAUUGAGGUGUCACAACCAAAAUCAAAAGAAUUAGAGAAAACUGUUCCUUCAACAUGUCAAAUAACAAAACCACUAGAAUUAUAUGUGCCGUUUCAUUCUUCAUCUUUAAAACUUCUCUUUGAAAAUGGUAAAAUUUAAAGUAAGUGGGAUAAGUUUAUUGAAGAGACGGCAUACCAUGUACAAUCAGUUGGUGGCAUGAUAUCACUAGGCACUUACUAAGAAUUUGGUAGACUGAUGUGUAAGAGGUACCCAUGCUUAGUCCGUAAAUCAAUGAAAGAACCAUUGUUAUGUAUUUUAUUCAUAUGUAGCCAUUUGAAAUGGGUAGAUAUUUUAUAGUAUGUUAACUGAUAAUUUGAUGCAUAGGCAUUAUAUAUUGAUAGGUCUUGUUGGUAGGAUUUUUCACAUGUUUGAAAAAAAAAUAAUCACUAAUCAUGUUGAUGAUAAUCUAUUUAAACCCUAAGCCUAAACUUUCAAACAAAGAAUAUAAGGUUAUUUAAAUAACUAGAAAGAUUAUAUCAUUGGAAACAUGUGUAACCAAUUUUUUAAAUUGAUAUUUAAAAAAACUACCUUGACCAAAUAUAUUUAACCUGAAGCGGGACAGAUUGAAAACACGGACCAAAAAGCAUAAUACCUCUCUACUAUCAAAGGUUUGGCUUACAAUAUAAGAAGAUUGCUAUGACAUCCUCUGUCAAUAUUGCAUAAAAUUGUGGUUCUGAACUUAUGAUCAAAUCCAUUUUAUUUUUUAAUUAGAUCUGACUUCUUGUACAAUUUCUUUUUUUGGUCUUACUUUUGAUCUUUGUAGAGAUAUUUUAACAAAAAUUGUCUCAAAAGAUUAGAAACAUCAGAUGGAAAAGGAAUGUACGUAGUAAAAUGCCAAGUGAUAGUAACCAAGGACCGAAAAAACGAAGACACACAAAUUGUUCUGGAACUCAUUCAUCAUUUGUUCUUCAUUUGAUUAUCAUUUUAUAUUGUUAAUGUUUCAUUGCGUACAUCGCUUUACGUGUUGAACUGGUCCGGCCAGUACAGUGAAAAAGCUGCAACUUGCCUGUUGUUUUUCUUGAAUAACGUACGCAACUCUACGACAGUAAGCAGACCAAUAACAAAGUUUCAACAACAAAGUUUUGUGCUAGUAAAUUGACGACAACCUGUCUCUACGUAUCUAGAUAAGGUACGACAACGUACAUACCUUUACACUGACAGUGGACAACAUAUCUUGUUUGUACUCGGCAGCAACCCAACAACGUUGAGUCAACAUGGAUCCCAGUCAUGUGGAACAACAAGAAAAGAUUCAGCCCCCAGAUGGAGAUGUCCCUGAACUAUUAGAAAAUCCGUCUAAAACAACACAUGUAGAUGAAAAUCCCGAAGACUAGGCGAGCUCGUGACCUCACGAAAAAAGGUAAAGGAGCUUUUCACUGAAAAACGUGACAAGUUCUGUCAGGAACUAGAGGCCUCUUGUCAGAUAAACAUUGAAUCCCAGUUAUUGGAAAUCACCAACGCCUCCUAACGACUUCAGCAACUCUUAACAGCCCAGGACAAACUUGUUAAAGCCUGUACAUAAUUAUCGUAGGCUCACAGACGAAUACCUGGACUUUCUGAAAAGGACCAGAACAUUGGACAGUCAAAAAGAAAUUAGAUGCAUGUAAACUCUCUGGAUUUUCGUCUGUCCAAAAGUGGAACUGGUCAUGGAAAAACUACACGAGCAUCGCCUUCGCCCUCACAAAGGCUAAAUCAACUAAAACAAAGACCUCAAAGGGUAAGAAAACCUUCCACAGCGGUAGCUCUAACGUGUCAGACAUGUCAAGUCUAGCACGGAGGAAGCGUGCCAACGCAGAGGCCGCUAAAUCAAAAAUAGCCUUUUUUUUAACAACAUUCACUUGUCCUUCAACAAGAGGCUAUGUUGGAGGAACAAGCCCUGUUCAGACAAUCUGAAAUGGAACAGGAAGCACAAGCAAGACGGCUGAAAUGGAACAAGAAGCAGCAAGCAAAAAGGCUGAAAUGGAACAAGAAGCAGCACGCAAAAAGGCUGAAAUAUUACAGGAAGCUACACGUUCAAAGGCUAAAAUGGAACAUGAGGCAGAACAAGAGGCUGCACGUGUAAGCCGAGCUGAAGGCCAAGUUAAACCUUAUAGAAGCAGACAGGCUGCAGCCGCAGAAGCCGAGGCUCGUAUCCUGGAAUACGACAGCCAAGCAGUUUAGCGAUCUCCCUGACGAAAAGGAAGACCCGCUCCAGCGUGUGCAAGAUUUCGUCAAUAAACUUCCUGUAUCAACUGCUGUAAAGGAAGUAACAGGACCUCAAAAGAUAAAACAAAUUCCUGUUUAGAUUGAGCUGAGUCAUGAAGCACCAGCGUUCGUGCCAUCUGUGGCACUGAACUUGCCGUCACAGACAUCUGCUGUCUUGCCUUCCGAUACUAAGUCUACGGAAGUUACCUUAAUCCCAGAUCUGGGAAUAGUAACUGGCAUACAAAAAGUAAGCCUUUCAGAUGAGAUCCCUGCUGAACACCAAAAACAGGGAAGAAGUUAUAGAAGAGAUCCCUGCUUCAAACCAAAAACAAGGUGUAAUAGAAGAGACCCCUGUUGCAUACCAGCAACAAAUUAAUCCUACGUCGGAGAUAACUAGAUUUCUUCUACGCAAAGACCUAUUGUUCUCCCGGCUAACAAAUUUUAAUGACCAGGCAGAAUCCUUCCAUACAUGGAAAUCUAGCUUUAAAAACGUCAUAGACGAAUUACAAGUUUCUGACUCGGAACAAAUAGACUUACUGAUUAAGUGGCUAGGGCCAGAGUCUGGUAAACAUGCCAUAAGUAUUAGGGCAUCAAAUGCCAACAACCCUACUAGAGGCCUACAGAGGUUAUGGCAAAGACUAGAUGAGCGAUAUGGUGCUCCAGAAAUGUUGGAAGCCUCUCUCAGGAGUAAACUUGACAAAUUCCCAACCUUGACGAAUAAGGACAACGCACGUCUCUAUGAACUGUCUGACAUUCUAUCAGAAAUAGAAUACCACAAGGAAAAUCCCAAGCUGGGAUGUCUGCUAGCUUAUUUUGAUUCACCGACCGGAAUAAACCCUGUCAUUGAAAAACUACCCUAUGGACUUCAGGAAAAGUGGAUUACAAGGGCGUCUAGAUACAAAUCUAACCACGGCGUUGCCUUUCCUCCUUUUACAGAGUUAUCUGCAUUCAUCAGUGAAAUCAGUAGAAUUAAAAACGAUCCUGGAUUCAUUUUUGGGUCAAGAGUCACACCAAGUACAAAAGGUGCUGCGCCAAGGUUCACACCUCAGCCUGGAACAAAAAUCAACGUUCACAAGACACUGCGGUCGAACAACGAUCUGGAGAGACUGCACAGCAACAAAAUCUGUGCAUAAUAAUACACAAUACCGAACAUUCGCUAAAUGAAUGUCGUGGGUUCAGAGCUAAAACUAUAGAGGAACGCAAGGAACUGUUGAGGCAAAAUAAUCUUUGUUACAAAUGCUGUGAUUCGACUAUGCACAGAAGUCGUGAUUGCAACGCGAGUAUCAGUUGCAAUGAAUGCGGAAGUAAACAACACACCACCGCAUUACACACAAAUCGAGUGUACCAAACCAAAGGUGCACCGCCUUCACCGCCUAGAUCAGUCGACGGCGGGGAGCAACUUGAGUUAGCUGAAACCAAGCUAACCUCUGUUAGUUCAACUUGCACAGAUAUCUCCAAAGACGGCAACAGUAGUAAAUCUUGUGCCAAGAUACUUCCUGUGAAUGUCUCACAAAAAUAAUCAGGACAAAGUAAUUCGCAUGUAUGCAAUUAUUGACGACCAAAGCAACCGGUCUCUCGUGGCUCCUGAAUUCUUCAGCCUAUUCAACGUACACAGAAACAACAGACUAUUUGUUAUCCACAUGCUCCGGCAGUAAGGUUACUUCCGGUAAACGAGGAAAUGGCUUUGUCGUGAAGUCUGUACAAGACAAUUCUAGAUUCAAUCUGCCUGAACUGAUUGAAUGCGAUAACAUUCCCAAUAAUCGGAACGAAAUUGCUACGCCUGAGGAUAUAUUGCAAUAUCAACACUUGCAAGAACUACAAAAACAUAUUCUCCCGAUUGAUGGAAAAUGCAAAAUCCUAUUGCUCAUUGGAAGAGACCUUAUAGAGGCACAUCAUGUCCUUGAUCAACGUCUAGGACCACCAAAGGCUCCAUUUGCGCAAAAGUUAAACCUUUGGGUUGGAUUAUCGUUGGAGAAAUACGCUCCGAUAAGCAACAUGUUCACCUUGAACUCACUACAAAGGAAACAAUCCAACUUGCAGUGUUGUGAAACCACAUACAAAGAAAUUACCUGAAUGUAAUAAAAGCAACACCUAGUCAAAUGAAAUUCAAACUUUAUUACAUAAAAAAAUCACCGUAUGAAAAGAUGAAAUAUAUGGGUCAAGUGAAAUACCUAUCUAAUGAAUCACAAAAACAGAGUAGAUGUUUUCAAAUAGCUUUUUUUUACUAAAAGUACUUGACGAUAGUCUUUUAAGUUGGAUGAUGAAAAUGCAUAUCUUCGAAAAAAUAUUUUGUUUGUGUGUGAUAACUAGGGUUUAUAAUCUUCAACCACUGAAAACUUUUUAGUCUGCCCUUCCACGAAAUAUUUAAUUAGAUUUUUUUUAAAUGUUUAAGAAUUUUCGAAAAUUCCACCUGACAACCGAUCAGACAAUAUUUUUAAGUUGAAUCAAUGCAGACAAGAUCAUUCACUGAUGCUCAUUAGCUAGUAGAUACAUUUGUCUUUUAAAAUACAACUGACAUAUAAGGAUCGUAAUGGUACUAUGUGGAUAAAUUUAUCGGUUUUCAAGAGCAAAAUUGGUAGCGCGUCAUUCCUACAAUGGCUUCCAAUUCUUUGAUUGUGAAAAUGAACUAGCGUAAUGGGGAAGUGACGAAGUAGAAUCCUGACUGGGCUGUUAUCACAUUAAAUCGGUUUCAUAAAUGUGUUUAGGAAAGUGUAUAGGCUCUAAUCACAAUUUUUAGAGUGUAAAUAUGCAUCAUAUAAAUUAGGUAAUAUUUUUUGGGAGAAAGCUUUGAUAAAUAUUUUAAGAAUCUGAGAUCUUUAUUAAAGGACGAAAAAUCAGAAGGUAAUACCGGUAUGCCUGUGCCAAGUGAUAUAUCUCUAGAUUUAGAAGAAACUAUACGAGUGCCAAUGAGGCAACUCUCCAUUCAAGUCACAAUGAUUAGCUUAUCUGUAUUUGGCAAAAUUUUCAGGAUUUGUUUGUUCUAUUCUCUACGAAUUCGUUCUUCAAUUGGUCUUUUGACUUGUCUAAUGUGUCUUUUGUAGACGAAUCGCUCGAAUACCAAAGUUUAAUCUUGGUUACUAUGAUGAGUGUUAUCGUAGGAUUUAUUGAUUGUUGGUUGCUUAACAUCCAGUGGCAAAUAGUUCAUAUAAUAUUAUGUUCAGGACGCCUAUAUAGAGAACCUAUCUAUUGUUUAUUUGUACUAGUCCUUUAUAUGCAUAAAUGUACCACUAGACGUUAAGCAACAAACAAUCGCAUCUCUUGUUUUUCUUAACCCUGUGACCUCAAGCAACACAUUCAGAUGUUACAGCUGAUUUAUAUGUUUUUCCGACAGGACCACAACACCCCAUCAACAAUAUUCAUCAAUGAUAUAAUAAAGGCAACAGUAAUCUAAUAGUUUCAAUGACUUCAAAGUGUAAAGUUAACCACUUAUUAAGCACUAUUAACGGUUUAACGAGUGUACCGGAUUCUUCAAUCGUCAUGAAUUAUUUAAAUAACUUUAAUUUGAAGAUAAACGGUUGUUCCCUUGUUAAACGUCCAGUGGCCAAUAUUUCAUGGAUGUUCAUGACAUAUUAGCAACAGAGACAUAUAAUACAAGAGAUUGGCAACUCUAGUAGAGGCUGUAUAACGGCCAAUGAAAUCACUUGGCUACCGGAAGUGCUUGGGAUGAUGAUGUGACAUGGGGUGAAGAUGAGCAAAUUCCGCCAUUGUUGUAAAGAGAGACGAUACUCUUAAAUAUUUUUUUAUCGUUUAUGUCCAUUGUUUUCACAGCUAAAGCAUACAAGUAUAUUCAAAAGAAACAUGUUACUAAUUCUACUAAUUUGUUUAUACUUUAAUGUGCUGCUAUGAUGUUAAUAAUCAAAUACAGACCAAUUUAAAUUCGGUCCAUUCAGCUUCCCCUCUUUAUUGCUGUAGAACAGUUCUGGUCCACCAUUUUUUUUUCAUAAAACAUAGAAAUUUAAGAAUGUAUAUACAUUUUUGUAGUGUUUUUCUACUCCCGAUUGUUAUCCAAUUAAAAUGAGACUAUUUUCGUAUAGUUUGGUCAAAUAGUGUUUUCAUAAAAUACCAUCAAAGGGGAUUUUUUUUUUCGCAAUGAUACCCAAAUCCAGCUAUGAACUACCAUUUUUUUCAUGAAACUUAGAAAUUAACGAAUAAAUUUGCAAUUUAAUAAGCUUAUAUUACUUCCAAAUGUUAUCUUGUUAAAAUAAGACCAGUUUCGUAAAAUUCGAUCCUAUAGUGGUUUCUAAAAAUUUCAGCAAAGGUGACUAAUAUUUUCAUAUUGAUACCAAAAAAACUAGUCCAAAUAAUUAUGACGUCUGGCAAUUUAUCAAGAUCAAAUUGAUAUGAAUUGUUUCACAUCAGUCAAAGCAAUCUGCCAAUCGUAACAUUUAUCAUGUUUAUUGAUAUUGACUUGUGUUUAGUGUUUUGGAAUAUUGGUAUUGAACUCUUUUUUAGAAUGUUAGAUGUGUAUAUAUUUGUUUUAAUUUUUUGCGGUAUUGGUUUGUUUUUCAUACAUGUAACCAUUGCAAGAAAUUUGUUGACUUCUAUCUUGAUAAAAUUCUAUGCAUGCAUAUAUUAUAUAUAUUUGUACAAUAAUGAGACAAAAUAAUUUGAGAUGUUAUUAUUAUUGUAGGUAUGUUUGAAGAGAAUUACAAAAGUUAUGUAGGAGUAUUGUUUGAUGAGAUCCGGAUUAAAGAAGACCUUGUUUAUGACAAGCACACAGGAGAAUUAAUUUGGUACUGUGAUUUAGACUCUAUAAGCAACCAAAUCAUGAACUUAGAGAAAGAUGUAAAUGACAGCAAACCAACACAAGUGGCAAAGUUCUUGCUAGUGAUAAUGGUCCGAGGUAUAACUACGAAUCUCAAGUUUCCUUUCGCAGGCUUUGCAACAAACAGUAUAACUGCAGACUUUUUAUAUCCGAUCUUUUGGAAAGCUGUAUCAAUCCUUGAAUGCUCCGUUAAACUUAAAGUCCUAUUUUGUACAUGUGACGGAGCCUCUGCAAACAGAUUUUUUUCCAAUUGCACAAAUUAGACAACAGUACAGAACCUGUGUAUUUCACAAAGAACCACCAUGAUGAGAACCGUAACUUAUAUUUCAUUUCUGAUGUGCCACAUCUGUUGAAGACCGCCAGAAAUUGUUUAAGCAAUGCGUAUUCCCACAAGAAAACUCGUCAGUUAUAGAAUAGGGAAAAAGACAUUUCAUGGAUGCACUUAGGCCGUUUGUUUGAAGAACAUUGUGAACAAGAUAUUUAUAGUCCAUGUCCAAAAUUGUCCAGACCGC
Molecule: small RNA, 8588 nt
Filed under: Mytilus galloprovincialis (Mediterranean mussel)
Lineage: Eukaryota; Metazoa; Mollusca; Bivalvia; Mytilida; Mytilidae
Source: RNAcentral